GUGAAUCAUCGAAUUUUUGAACGGAAAUUGCACUCUCUUCGGAGAGUAUGCCUGUUUGAGGGUCGGCCUAAAAAAAAUCGACAUAGUUCUUGUUACGCGGUAACAUUCGUCGGAAAUGGGGUAAUCUUAAACCUUUGGGUUUAAGCGCUUUAAAAUUUUCUUUACGUUUCAAAGAAGGUUCUUAAGUUUUUAUUUUCUUUUACCUUUAUGGUAUCGU
This 217-nucleotide unclassified non-coding RNA is filed under the name Glomus sp. Its description in RNAcentral is "partial contains 5.8S ribosomal RNA and internal transcribed spacer 2". The stretch from base 1 to 65 matches the Rfam family "5.8S ribosomal RNA", at positions 84 to 154 of the family's 154-position model. The record is from RNAcentral. Lineage: Eukaryota; Fungi; Glomeromycota; Glomeromycetes; Glomerales; Glomeraceae.